This 447-nucleotide ribosomal RNA is filed under the name uncultured bacterium. RNAcentral describes it as "partial 16S ribosomal RNA". It matches the Rfam family "Bacterial small subunit ribosomal RNA", at positions 329 to 792 of the family's 1533-position model. The record is from RNAcentral.
CGCCAGACUCCUACGGGAGGCAGCAGUAGGGAAUUUUGCGCAAUGGGGGAAACCCUGACGCAGCAACGCCGCGUGAUUGAUGAAGCCCUUCGGGGUGUAAAGAUCUGUCAGUGGGGACGAAACUUGACGGUACCCACAGAGGAAGCAUCGGCUAACUCCGUGCCAGCAGCCGCGGUAAUACGUAGGGGGCAAGCGUUAUCCGGAUUUACUGGGUGUAAAGGGGGCGCAGACGGCGAUGCAAGCCAGGAGUGAAAGCCCGGGGCCCAACCCCGGGACUGCUCUUGGAACUGCGUGGCUGGAGUGCAGGAGGGGCAGGCGGAAUUCCUGGUGUAGCGGUGAAAUGCGUAGAUAUCAGGAGGAACACCGGUGGCGAAGGCGGCCUGCUGGACUGCAACUGACGUUGAGGCCCGAAAGCGUGGGGAGCAAACAGGAUUAGAUACCCCUGUA